This is a long non-coding RNA of Ictalurus punctatus (channel catfish), 377 nucleotides long. The record is from Ensembl. Lineage: Eukaryota; Metazoa; Chordata; Actinopteri; Siluriformes; Ictaluridae.
GGCAUAGAGAGAGAGGGGGAGAGAAAGAGGGAGAGAGAGGCCGUGUUAGAGAUAAACAGUUUCACCUGAGUAGAGGCACAGAGGGAAAAAAGUGCCAGGACUUGACAGAGACAGUCUCAGAUUUGGCUCCUUUUCCCUCUUUGCUGACAUUUUUAUUUCUCCACUGUGGAACCCUGAGAUGUUAUGCCGAGCUGACGAGACCGAUAACGUGGCGUCAUGAAGCACCAGGAGCAAAGCAAAGCCCGGGUCACUGCAGAUAAACGGGACGAGGGGUCAGUGUCUGAACAGGGUGGUGUUUAAAGCACAAAAUAAAAAAAAUUAUUAAUUUUAAGGAAAAAAAAAAUAUUUUCAAAUCUGAAAAUAAAGUCUGCUGUGUC